CACCGCGGUUAUACGAGAGGCCCAAGUUGAUAGACAGCGGCGUAAAGCGUGGUUAAGGACAAAAUAACUAAAGCCGAACACCCCCCCAGCUGUUAUACGCCCGCGGGGCGUUAGAAGCACAAUUACGAAAGUAGCUUUAUCACACCUGAAUCCACGAAAGCUGAGGCA
This 168-nucleotide ribosomal RNA is filed under the name Sillago lutea. RNAcentral describes it as "partial 12S rRNA". The record is from RNAcentral. Lineage: Eukaryota; Metazoa; Chordata; Actinopteri; Sillaginidae.